RNAcentral lists this ribosomal RNA (944 nucleotides) under Phellinus laevigatus. RNAcentral describes it as "LSU rRNA". It matches the Rfam family "Eukaryotic large subunit ribosomal RNA", at positions 38 to 964 of the family's 3401-position model. Lineage: Eukaryota; Fungi; Basidiomycota; Agaricomycetes; Hymenochaetales; Hymenochaetaceae. The record is from RNAcentral.
GCAUAUCAUAGCGAGAAAAGAAACUAACAAGGAUUCCCUAGUAACUGCGAGUGAAGAGGGAAAAGCUCAAAUUUAAAAUCUGGCGGGCUCUGUCCGUCCGAGUUGUAAUCUGGAGAAGCGUUUUCCGCGUCGGACCGUGCAUAAGUCUCCUGGAACGGAGCGUCAUAGAGGGUGAGAAUCCCGUCCAUGGCACGGACCGCCGAUGCUUUGUGAUACGUUUUCAAAGAGUCGAGUUGUUUGGGAAUGCAGCUCAAAAUGGGUGGUAAAUUCCAUCUAAAGCUAAAUAUUGGCGAGAGACCGAUAGCGAACAAGUACCGUGAGGGAAAGAUGAAAAGCACUUUGGAAAGAGAGUUAAACAGUACGUGAAAUUGUUGAAAGGGAAACGCUUGAAGUCAGUCGCGUCCGACGGAACUCAGCCUUGCUUCGGCCUGGUGUACUUUCUGUCGGACGGGUCAACAUCAGUUUUGACCGGUGGAGAAAGGUAGGGGGAAUGUAGCGCUGUUUCGGCGGCGUGUUAUAGCCCCUUGCUGUAUGCAUCGGUUGGGACUGAGGACCGCAGCACGCCUUUUUGGCCGGGGGUUCGCCCCACGUACCGUGCUUAGGAUGUUGGCAUAAUGGCUUUAAGCGACCCGUCUUGAAACACGGACCAAGGAGUCCAACAUGCUUGCGAGUGUUCGGGUGGAAAACCCUUGCGCGUAAUGAAAGUAACAGUUGGGAACCUCCGCAAGGGGGGUGCACCGACGCCCGGCCCUGAAGUUCUCUGACGGUGCUGCGGUAGAGCAAGUAUGCUGGGACCCGAAAGAUGGUGAACUAUGCCUGAAUAGGGCGAAGCCAGAGGAAACUCUGGUGGAGGCUCGUAGCGAUUCUGACGUGCAAAUCGAUCGUCAAAUUUGGGUAUAGGGGCGAAAGACUAAUCCGAACCAUCUAGUAGCUGGGUCUGCCGA